AGCUCCAAUAGCGUAUAUUUAAGUUGUUGCAGUUAAAAAGCUCGUAGUUGGAUUUCGGGUUGGCUUCAGCGGUCUCGCUUUGCGUCUGUACUGCUGAAGCCUACCUUCUUGUCGGGGACGGGCCUACGGGCUUAAUUGCUUGGGGCCCGGAGUCGACGAUGUUACUUUGAGUAAAUUAGAGUGUUCAAAGCAAGCCUACGCUCUGAAUAUAAUAGCAUGGGAUAACACGACAGGACUCUGGCCUAUCGUGUUGGUCUGUAGGACCAGAGUAAUGAUUAAGAGGGACAGUCGGGGGCAUUCGUAUUCCGUUGUCAGAGGUGAAAUUCUUGGAUUUACGGAAGACGAACAUCUGCGAAAGCAUUUGCCAAGGAUGUUUUCAUUGAUCAAGAACGAAAGUACG
This 400-nucleotide ribosomal RNA is filed under the name phytoplankton environmental sample. RNAcentral's name for it is "partial small subunit ribosomal RNA". It matches the Rfam family "Eukaryotic small subunit ribosomal RNA", at positions 587 to 993 of the family's 1831-position model. The record is from RNAcentral.